RNAcentral lists this transfer RNA (68 nucleotides) under Marmota monax (woodchuck). RNAcentral describes it as "tRNA.Met". Lineage: Eukaryota; Metazoa; Chordata; Mammalia; Rodentia; Sciuridae. The record is from RNAcentral.
GGUUUGUAGCUCAGUGGUAGAGCGCUUGCCUCAUACACAUAAGGCACUGGAUUCAAUCCUCAGCACCA